This 216-nucleotide ribosomal RNA is filed under the name Glomeromycotina sp. RNAcentral's name for it is "partial small subunit ribosomal RNA". The stretch from base 40 to 216 matches the Rfam family "Eukaryotic small subunit ribosomal RNA", at positions 686 to 864 of the family's 1831-position model. The record is from RNAcentral. Lineage: Eukaryota; Fungi; Glomeromycota.
GGGUCAGUAGGUUGGUCGUGCCACCGGUACGUACUGGUCUCACUGAUUCCUCCUUCCUGAAGAACCGUAAUGCCAUUAAUUUGGUGUUGCGGGGAAACAGGACUGUUACUUUGAAAAAAUUAGAGUGUUUAAAGCAAGCUAACGCUUGAAUACAUUAGCAUGGAGUAAUGGAAUAGGACGAUCGAUCCUAUUUUGUUGGUUUCUAGGAUUGACGUA